AACGAACGCUGGCGGCAGGCUUAACACAUGCAAGUCGAGCGCCCGCAAGGGAGCGGCAGACGGGUGAGUAACGCGUGGGAAUCUACCUAGUUCUACGGAACAACACAGGGAAACUUGUGCUAAUACCGUAUACGCCCUACGGGGGGAAGAUUUACCGGAAUUAGAUGAGCCCGCGUUGGAUUAGCUAGUUGGUGGGGUAAUGGCCUACCAAGGCGACGAUCCAUAGCUGGUCUGAGAGGAUGGUCAGCCACAUUGGGACUGAGACACGGCCCAAACUCCUACGGGAGGCAGCAGUGGGGAAUAUUGGACAAUGGGCGCAAGCCUGAUCCAGCCAUGCCGCGUGAGUGAUGAAGGCCUUAGGGUUGUAAAGCUCUUUCACCGAUGAAGAUAAUGACGGUAGUCGGAGAAGAAGCCCCGGCUAACUUCGUGCCAGCCGCCGCAGUAA
RNAcentral lists this ribosomal RNA (445 nucleotides) under uncultured bacterium. Its description in RNAcentral is "partial 16S ribosomal RNA". It matches the Rfam family "Bacterial small subunit ribosomal RNA", at positions 29 to 523 of the family's 1533-position model. The record is from RNAcentral.